This 1160-nucleotide ribosomal RNA is filed under the name metagenome. RNAcentral's name for it is "SSU rRNA". It matches the Rfam family "Eukaryotic small subunit ribosomal RNA", at positions 490 to 1674 of the family's 1831-position model. The record is from RNAcentral.
GCUCUUUUGGGUCUUGUAAUUGGAAUGAGUACAAUUUAAAUCCCUUAACGAGGAACAAUUGGAGGGCAAGUCUGGUGCCAGCAGCCGCGGUAAUUCCAGCUCCAAUAGCGUAUAUUAAAGUUGUUGCAGUUAAAAAGCUCGUAGUUGAACCUUGGGCCUGGCUGGCCGGUCCGCCUCACCGCGUGCACUGGUCCGGCCGGGUCUUUCCUUCUGGGGAGCCGCAUGCCCUUCACUGGGUGUGUCGGGGAACCAGGACUUUUACUUUGAAAAAAUUAGAGUGUUCAAAGCAGGCCUAUGCUCGAAUACAUUAGCAUGGAAUAAUAGAAUAGGACGUGUGGUUCUAUUUUGUUGGUUUCUAGGACCGCCGUAAUGAUUAAUAGGGAUAGUCGGGGGCAUCAGUAUUCAAUUGUCAGAGGUGAAAUUCUUGGAUUUAUUGAAGACUAACUACUGCGAAAGCAUUUGCCAAGGAUGUUUUCAUUAAUCAGUGAACGAAAGUUAGGGGAUCGAAGACGAUCAGAUACCGUCGUAGUCUUAACCAUAAACUAUGCCGACUAGGGAUCGGGCGAUGUUAUCUUUUUGACUCGCUCGGCACCUUACGAGAAAUCUAAGUCUUUGGGUUCUGGGGGGAGUAUGGUCGCAAGGCUGAAACUUAAAGAAAUUGACGGAAGGGCACCACCAGGAGUGGAGCCUGCGGCUUAAUUUGACUCAACACGGGGAAACUCACCAGGUCCAGACACAAUAAGGAUUGACAGAUUGAGGGCUCUUUCUUGAUUUUGUGGGUGGUGGUGCAUGGCCGUUCUUAGUUGGUGGAGUGAUUUGUCUGCUUAAUUGCGAUAACGAACGAGACCUUAACCUGCUAAAUAGCCAGGCUAGCUUUGGCUGGUCGCCGGCUUCUUAGAGGGACUUUCGGCUCAAGCCGAUGGAAGUUUGAGGCAAUAACAGGUCUGUGAUGCCCUUAGAUGUUCUGGGCCGCACGCGCGCUACACUGAAGUGAUCAGCGUGCUUUUGUCAACCUACUCUGUCAAGAGUGGGGAACCCAAUGAACCUUCUUCGUGAUUGGGAUAGGGGAUUGUAAUUAUUCCCCUUGAACGAGGAAUUCCCAGUAAGCGCGAGUCAUAAGCUCGCGUUGAUUACGUCCCUGCCCAUUGUACACACCGCCC